RNAcentral lists this ribosomal RNA (511 nucleotides) under uncultured bacterium. RNAcentral describes it as "bacterial SSU rRNA". It matches the Rfam family "Bacterial small subunit ribosomal RNA", at positions 28 to 511 of the family's 1533-position model. The record is from RNAcentral.
GACGAACGCUAGCGACAGGCCUAACACAUGCAAGUCGAGGGGCAUCGGGGCGUAGCAAUACGCUGCCGGCGACCGGCGGAUGGGUGAGUAACGCGUAUGCAACCUGCCUUCAGCAGGGGGAUAGCCCGUUGAAAGACGGAUUAAUACCCCGUAACACAGGGGCUCCGCAUGGAGAUUAUUGUUAAAGGGAUACUUCCUUCGGGGGGUAUUCCGGCUGAAGAUGGGCAUGCGUUCCAUUAGGUAGUUGGUUGAGGUAACGGCUCACCAAGCCUACGAUGGAUAGGGGAACUGAGAGGUUGGUCCCCCACACUGGUACUGAGACACGGACCAGACUCCUACGGGAGGCAGCAGUGAGGAAUCUUGGUCAAUGGACGGAAGUCUGAACCAGCCAUGUCGCGUGAAGGAGGACGGCCCUAAGGGUUGUAAACUUCUUUUGCAGCGGAAUAAAGUAUUCCACGAGAUGGGAUAUUGCAAGUACGCUGCGAAUAAGGAUCGGCUAACUCCGUGCCAG